This 497-nucleotide ribosomal RNA is filed under the name uncultured bacterium. RNAcentral's name for it is "partial 16S ribosomal RNA". It matches the Rfam family "Bacterial small subunit ribosomal RNA", at positions 28 to 507 of the family's 1533-position model. The record is from RNAcentral.
GACGAACGCUGGCGGCGUGCCUAAUACAUGCAAGUAGAACGCUGAAGCUUGGUGCUUGCACCGAGCGGAUGAGUUGCGAACGGGUGAGUAACGCGUAGGUAACCUGCCUGGUAGCGGGGGAUAACUAUUGGAAACGAUAGCUAAUACCGCAUAAGAGUAGAUGUUGCAUGACAUUUGCUUAAAAGGUGCAAUUGCAUCACUACCAGAUGGACCUGCGUUGUAUUAGCUAGUUGGUGAGGUAACGGCUCACCAAGGCAACGCUACAUAGCCGACCUGAGAGGGUGAUCGGCCACACUGGGACUGAGACACGGCCCAGACUCCUACGGGAGGCAGCAGUAGGGAAUCUUCGGCAAUGGACGGAAGUCUGACCGAGCAACGCCGCGUGAGUGAAGAAGGUUGUCGGAUCGUAAAGCUCUGUUGUAAGAGAAGAACGAGUGUGAGAGUGGAAAGUUCACACUGUGACGGUAUCUUACCAGAAAGGGACGGCUAACUACGUG